AUACACCUGUUCCCAUUCCGAACACAGAAGUUAAGCUCUCUAGCGCUGAUGGUACUUGGUGGGAAACCGCCUGGGAGAGUAGGACAUAGCCAGGUA
This 96-nucleotide ribosomal RNA is filed under the name Clostridioides difficile. Lineage: Bacteria; Bacillati; Bacillota; Clostridia; Peptostreptococcales; Peptostreptococcaceae. The record is from RNAcentral.